Molecule: ribosomal RNA, 407 nt
Filed under: uncultured prokaryote
Description: bacterial SSU rRNA
Rfam family: Bacterial small subunit ribosomal RNA
Source: RNAcentral
UGGGGAAUUUUCCGCAAUGGGCGAAAGCCUGACGGAGCAAUACCGCGUGAGGGAAGAAAGCCUACUGGGUUGUAAACCUCUUUUUUCAGGGAGGAAAAAAAUGACGUGUACCUGAAGAAUAAGCAUCGGCUAACUCCGUGCCAGCAGCCGCGGUAAGACGGAGGAUGCAAGUGUUAUCCGGAAUUACUGGGCGUAAAGCGUCUGUAGGUGGUUUAAUAAGUCAACUGUUAAAUCUUGAGGCUUAACUUCAAAACAGCAGUCGAAACUAUUAGACUAGAGUAUAGUAGGGGUAAAGGGAAUUUCCAGUGGAGCGGUGAAAUGCGUAGAUAUUGGAAAGAACACCGAUGGCGAAAGCACUUUACUGGGCUAUUACUAACACUCAGAGACGAAAGCUAGGGUAGCAAAUG